RNAcentral lists this ribosomal RNA (779 nucleotides) under uncultured bacterium. RNAcentral's name for it is "bacterial SSU rRNA". It matches the Rfam family "Bacterial small subunit ribosomal RNA", at positions 113 to 910 of the family's 1533-position model. The record is from RNAcentral.
ACGCGUAAAGAACUUACCUCACAGAUAGGGACAACAUUUGGAAACGAAUGCUAAUACCUGAUAUUAUGAUUUUAGGGCAUCCUAGAAUUAUGAAAGCUAUAUGCGCUGUGAGAGAGCUUUGCGUCCCAUUAGCUAGUUGGAGAGGUAACGGCUCACCAAGGCGAUGAUGGGUAGCCGGCCUGAGAGGGUGAUCGGCCACAAGGGGACUGAGACACGGCCCUUACUCCUACGGGAGGCAGCAGUGGGGAAUAUUGGACAAUGGACCAAGAGUCUGAUCCAGCAAUUCUGUGUGCACGAUGAAGUUUUUCGGAAUGUAAAGUGCUUUCAGUUGGGAAGAAAAAAAUGACGGUACCAACAGAAGAAGUGACGGCUAAAUACGUGCCAGCAGCCGCGGUAAUACGUAUGUCACAAGCGUUAUCCGGAUUUAUUGGGCGUAAAGCGCGUCUAGGUGGUUAUGUAAGUCUGAUGUGAAAAUGCAGGGCUCAACUCUGUAUUGCGUUGGAAACUGUGUAACUAGAGUACUGGAGAGGUAAGCGGAACUACAAGUGUAGAGGUGAAAUUCGUAGAUAUUUGUAGGAAUGCCGAUGGGGAAGCCAGCUUACUGGACAGAUACUGACGCUGAAGCGCGAAAGCGUGGGUAGCAAACAGGAUUAGAUACCCUGGUAGUCCACGCCGUAAACGAUGAUUACUANGUGUUGGGGGUCGAACCUCAGCGCCCAAGCAAACGCGAUAAGUAAUCCGCCUGGGGAGUACGUACGCCAGUAUGAAACUCAAGGAAU